This 1669-nucleotide ribosomal RNA is filed under the name Salmonella enterica subsp. enterica serovar Paratyphi A. RNAcentral describes it as "bacterial SSU rRNA". It matches the Rfam family "Bacterial small subunit ribosomal RNA". The record is from RNAcentral. Lineage: Bacteria; Pseudomonadati; Pseudomonadota; Gammaproteobacteria; Enterobacterales; Enterobacteriaceae.
GACGAAAAAUGAAUACCAAGUCUCAAGAGUGAACACGUAAUUCAUUACGAAGUUUAAUUCAUUGAGCAUCAAACUUUUAAAUUGAAGAGUUUGAUCAUGGCUCAGAUUGAACGCUGGCGGCAGGCCUAACACAUGCAAGUCGAACGGUAACAGGAAGCAGCUUGCUGCUUUGCUGACGAGUGGCGGACGGGUGAGUAAUGUCUGGGAAACUGCCUGAUGGAGGGGGAUAACUACUGGAAACGGUGGCUAAUACCGCAUAACGUCGCAAGACCAAAGAGGGGGACCUUCGGGCCUCUUGCCAUCAGAUGUGCCCAGAUGGGAUUAGCUUGUUGGUGAGGUAACGGCUCACCAAGGCGACGAUCCCUAGCUGGUCUGAGAGGAUGACCAGCCACACUGGAACUGAGACACGGUCCAGACUCCUACGGGAGGCAGCAGUGGGGAAUAUUGCACAAUGGGCGCAAGCCUGAUGCAGCCAUGCCGCGUGUAUGAAGAAGGCCUUCGGGUUGUAAAGUACUUUCAGCGGGGAGGAAGGUGUUGUGGUUAAUAACCGCAGCAAUUGACGUUACCCGCAGAAGAAGCACCGGCUAACUCCGUGCCAGCAGCCGCGGUAAUACGGAGGGUGCAAGCGUUAAUCGGAAUUACUGGGCGUAAAGCGCACGCAGGCGGUCUGUCAAGUCGGAUGUGAAAUCCCCGGGCUCAACCUGGGAACUGCAUUCGAAACUGGCAGGCUUGAGUCUUGUAGAGGGGGGUAGAAUUCCAGGUGUAGCGGUGAAAUGCGUAGAGAUCUGGAGGAAUACCGGUGGCGAAGGCGGCCCCCUGGACAAAGACUGACGCUCAGGUGCGAAAGCGUGGGGAGCAAACAGGAUUAGAUACCCUGGUAGUCCACGCCGUAAACGAUGUCUACUUGGAGGUUGUGCCCUUGAGGCGUGGCUUCCGGAGCUAACGCGUUAAGUAGACCGCCUGGGGAGUACGGCCGCAAGGUUAAAACUCAAAUGAAUUGACGGGGGCCCGCACAAGCGGUGGAGCAUGUGGUUUAAUUCGAUGCAACGCGAAGAACCUUACCUGGUCUUGACAUCCACGGAAGUUUUCAGAGAUGAGAAUGUGCCUUCGGGAACCGUGAGACAGGUGCUGCAUGGCUGUCGUCAGCUCGUGUUGUGAAAUGUUGGGUUAAGUCCCGCAACGAGCGCAACCCUUAUCCUUUGUUGCCAGCGGUCCGGCCGGGAACUCAAAGGAGACUGCCAGUGAUAAACUGGAGGAAGGUGGGGAUGACGUCAAGUCAUCAUGGCCCUUACGACCAGGGCUACACACGUGCUACAAUGGCGCAUACAAAGAGAAGCGACCUCGCGAGAGCAAGCGGACCUCAUAAAGUGCGUCGUAGUCCGGAUUGGAGUCUGCAACUCGACUCCAUGAAGUCGGAAUCGCUAGUAAUCGUGGAUCAGAAUGCCACGGUGAAUACGUUCCCGGGCCUUGUACACACCGCCCGUCACACCAUGGGAGUGGGUUGCAAAAGAAGUAGGUAGCUUAACCUUCGGGAGGGCGCUUACCACUUUGUGAUUCAUGACUGGGGUGAAGUCGUAACAAGGUAACCGUAGGGGAACCUGCGGUUGGAUCACCUCCUUACCUUAAAGAAGCGUACUUUGCAGUGCUCACACAGAUUGUCUGAUGAAAA